GCAGGCUGAAAUUCGCCUGCAUGAAGCCGGAAUUGCUAGUAAUGGCAGGUCAGCGUACUGCCGUGAAUACGUUCCCGGGCCUUGUACACACCGCCCGUCACACCAUGAGAGUUGGGAAUACCCGAAGCCUGUGAGCUAACUUUUAGAGGCAGCAGUCGAAGGUAGAAUCAAUGAUUGGGGUGAAGUCGUAACAAGGUAAC
Molecule: ribosomal RNA, 200 nt
Filed under: uncultured bacterium
Lineage: Bacteria
Description: partial 16S ribosomal RNA
Rfam family: Bacterial small subunit ribosomal RNA
Source: RNAcentral